Molecule: long non-coding RNA, 188 nt
Organism: Aquila chrysaetos chrysaetos
Lineage: Eukaryota; Metazoa; Chordata; Aves; Accipitriformes; Accipitridae
Exons: 3
Source: RefSeq, a predicted model, not a curated record
GCAGCUUAACACACUGAGCAUGAUGUCCCAUGCUAUGGAAUACCCCUUUGGCCAGUUUGGGUCAGCUGUCCUGGCUGUGUCCCCUCCCAACUUCUUGCGCACCCCCAGCCUCCCUGCUGGCUGGGCAAUAUGAGAAGCUGAAAAGUCCUUGACUGUGCAAGCACUGCCCAGUAACAAUGAAAACAUCA